CUGUUAGCUGUCAAUAGACGCGGAAAAACUAAAGGGAAAGUUAUUGGAUACUGCUUCAGAAGGGGGACAGGGAAUGCGCAUAUUAAAUGUUUAUCCUGCCUGUUUAAAGCGCUAGUGCCUUCAGCCCACGCUUAAAAAAGACAAAUUACACAUGCCCUUAAACUGUUUCCAAGGAUAAUAAUAAUAACAACAAAAACGUUAUCCUCAAACGAACAUAACAGAAAUAUAUAACAAUUCCUGCAUUUUGCUGGUUUACUCUGGGCCCCGAUGUUGCUAAGACCCCGUGAUAAACCCAGAACAAGUAUCAAGUUAUCAGGUUGCAAGAAGCUUUUGUAAUAAGAGUAUUUUGUCUAAUCCCAAAUUGCAGUCGAAUUUUCUAAAUGCUGAGCUCGUAAAUCUUGGGAUUAGAGGAGGCGAGAAGAGGAGGGGGAAAAGUUUGGUUUCUUUAGCCGGCAGGAUGGGAGCGGGUCGGCGAUGUUGUCGGUCCUUAUUAAAACGAUGAUGCAUAAAAUUCGAUAUUGAAGCUCACGCAGAAGGCUCGGUACCGGCGUAUUUUACCACGAAGGAAGGAUUUUCGGCGGUCGAAGGGCUUUGGUGAAGUCGAACUGUUCAGCACCUGAAGUCAGGCCGUGGACUUCAAAGCAAGAGCCACAGAUCGCGCUUCUCCGCCCGCGCUGAGAUGCUCCACUUCUCUUUGCCACGCCGUUUGGAGAGUUUUAUUAUGUGAUAAACAAUCUAUUUAAAAGAAGUCACUUUUUACCACUACUGGUUUAAGCUGGAAAACAAUAGUUGGCAACAAAAAGAACAACAAUCAGGGUUCUCUCCAGGUGUUCGUCUUCCUCUUCAGCCCUGCCGACACACACACACACACACACACACACACACACACACACACACACUGGAUCAGAGGUCAUUGAUGGAGAAGCAUGAGAACAGCAGAUGCACCUUCAGUACCUAUGACCUGAACUCUGGCUGAAGGCUCACUUUGACUCCUGAAAUUCUCACAAGUCCUGACUCCACCUAAACACACUCUGUGGCAAAGAGAUGUGGGUGACUGCAAUCUGUGGCGUUUAAAACCCUCUCGGAACAACACUAUUGGGCCUAAUUCUGUCCCACAAUCCCACAGUGCCUUGCGGCAAGGAGACUCACUCUUUCUCCUGGGCGUCCAGGUCUCGGACCAGCGCAUCUCGUUUGUUGACUAGAAUGACCAGCUCAUCCAGCAGCAGCUGCUCUCGCCGCUUCUGGGCCUCUGUCUUCUGCCAGUCUGGAGGAUGGAGAGGAAAAGAGGAAUGUUAGAGGGAAAAAAACUCAGGACUUCAAAUGAUGAACAUGAACAUGACAGGCCGGCCUGUUUAUCCUGCACAGUUCUCUAUACGUUGCAUGUCAUUCACGAGCCUCCUCUAUAAUUCGCUCUGUCGUUUCUGCAACCCCUCCGUCAAGAACCACAAUGCCCACUUCACAAAGCCCUGCCUGGAGGGUAGACUGUGACCAACAAAAACUUCUCCUGCAUGUCCCAAAGAGGUAGAGGGCGAGAGAAAAAGCCCCUGGACUUUUUACCUCCUCCUCCUGUUCCCCUUCAGCGUUCUCAGCCAAAAAGCCACAGAUCCUCCCCUGCACCUCCGGCAGAGGCCGCAUGCAGCUGUCAAUCAAGCCGAGCGGCGCCGCCCCCCUCAUUAAGAAGGUAAACAAUGAAUAUGGACGCAGAGGGACAGGGCAGAGCAAACCACUGAGCGCAACUUGCCAAAAAAACACUAACGGAAGCUGCUGCCUCCUCUCUUUUCCUCCGAGAAGAGACGGACGGACUAUUUGGAGUUGGUGGUGGUGGUGGUGUUGGGUGGGAAGGGGGGGUUCAAUCCCUUUUGGAUUACUCCCCUCUUUUUCUCUCUCUCAUCGCCCUGGGCAAUCACGUUAAAACUCACAUGGUCGGUGCUUAUUCAGAUAACCCUAACAAUGCACACCAAUGGUAACCAUGUGAGCACUCACAACCCACAGAAGAAUGCGCUGGUUCAAAUCCCCAUGACCCUCCUCCACAGCAAAAUUUAUUCAAGAGUGCAACCUGCUCGGCAGCUUCAGGAGGCACAGAGCUGAGCUUCUUCUGAAAGAUCACCAAACACAAACUUCACACACAUGCGGACACAACUUUUGGAGCCAGCGGAGUGGGUUUGAACUUAUUUUGGAGGACGAAAUAACAGGAAAUAAGUAGUGUUGGAGGAAUCCAGGGAAAAUGCAUGCUCUUAUUACAGCAGAUUUGGGUGAGCAGUGGGCAGGCUGAGAGCGCCAGCAUAAGAUGGAGCUGGAGAGAGGCCAGCUGGGAACCAGACAAAGACCAACAUGGACAAGGAGGGUGACGGGACAACAGUCCCCGGAUUCUUACCCUAAAAAUACAUGAGAAUUAAAGUGACUUCAUCAAAUAAAUAAAUAAACACAAAGUGUCUGAAUGGCUAC
Molecule: non-coding RNA, 2445 nt
Organism: Danio rerio (zebrafish)
Lineage: Eukaryota; Metazoa; Chordata; Actinopteri; Cypriniformes; Danionidae
Source: Ensembl